This 2619-nucleotide long non-coding RNA is filed under the name Olea europaea subsp. europaea. The record is from RNAcentral. Lineage: Eukaryota; Viridiplantae; Streptophyta; Magnoliopsida; Lamiales; Oleaceae.
AUAAAAUUGUAUAUCGAACAAUCAUAUUGAAGCAAACUGAAGUCCGGCGACCAACAACAAUGAAUAGUCGCCACUAGGGACAAAACAAUGAAUAGGUUGAUGUUAUUUAUUUAUUUAAUCAAUACUUAUUUACACCAUCCACACUGAAAAAUAGACGAAGAAAAAGACACUAAAGUCGCAAGGAAAGAAAGAGAAACUCCACGAUGGAAUUGGAUAUCAGCAACGUAAUAUCACCCAAAAGAGUAGAAAAUAGAAUUUUGAUAACCCAUUUGGCACAGGUGACGAAGGUAUUUUUACCCUUUCCCUUUCCGUUAUAUCUUACUAAUUCUCGUGAAUCACUUUUCUUCAAUGUCAAAUCCUCAUGCUUCAUAUACGCCUCUUGUAUCAUAUCAGUCAUACAAUACACAUGAAGACCAUACGUUUUGCACUGGGAAACAUAAGACCAGCCCUGAACAUCACUAUUUUCAAUCUUCUGCUUUCCGCACUUAACACACUUGGACGAAGACUCUGUGACAAGAUCAAAUAUCGUAUGCUUAAACACUAUUUUAUCUUCAAGUUUUCGACAGUAUGGAUGCAAAUCCAACUUGUCUUCUUCACAGUGGUAGCUAAAACCGCAUAUGUCCUUUCCACAUGCAUUGCAGCACUUCGAAAACUGUCUGCGAUGGUUUUUAUCCAGUUUUGUGCAUGGUUUACUAUAAAAUCUGAAAGUAGAGCCAGGAAAAUUCUCGUGAGUAAUGGUGGAUCUGGGGUACCUACAUUCUCUGUGGAGACAGUCGCCACAGCGAGAGCAUUGGUAUCUUUCUCCAAACCCUUUCAUCUUGCAUCCAUCGCAUUUAUAAAACUUUUUAUACCUUUUCAACUUGUAGUGCUUAUAGCAAUCAUGGGAUAAUCCACGGGAUGACAUAUUGUCCAUUGAAAAAAGUUUAGCCUAAUUCAAAAUAAAACGUUAAUGAACUAAUUAGAACAGGGUUGCUAUGAUACCAAGGACUUAAUCAUAACAAACAAUAUGAAUAAAAGAAAAGCACCUGAUUAGCUUGAUGAAUGCUCUUUCUAAUUCUCAAGGCCGGCCAUGAGAAUUUAGAGGCCCUAGGCAUGUAGUUAUUAUGAGGCCCUUCAAUAUAAUAUUUAUUUUAGAAGUGUAAUAAUAUGUAAAUAUUUAAAUAAUUAAUACCUUUAUAAUAAAAAGAAAACUUUAUACAAUUCAAGAGAUAGAAUAGCAAAAUAAAACUUCUCUCACAAUUCGAGAGAUAAAGCUAGCAUAAGAUUUAACUUUCUCACAUUUUGAGAUGUAAAAUUAGUAAUCAACCUACUGAAAUCAAGUUUUUCCAACAUAUUUUUUUCAAUAGAAAUCAUAGCUAAUCCAUUGAAUCGCUCUUGUGACAUGGUUGACCGAAGAUAACAUCGAAUCAACCGCUACCUAUCUCAGCCAUGAGUACUAAUCAAAAUCAGUUUUGCUAAUCUAGUUCUAUCCCCUUGUAGAUUGUAACAUCUUAUGUUUAAACUUAACAAAUUUCUCCCUCAAAACUCAUGAAUUUAGGAGUAAAUUGGGCGGUUUGGAUUGAGUUUCUAGUUACUAAAUCAAACCAGUUUUGGUUGAAAGUUAUAAAACUGAAAAUAUUUUAUUUGAGAGAGAGAACUGAACUGGUUGGGUUCCUUCAUAAUUCAUACAUUAUAAUAGAUUAUUGUAUAAAUUUCUCUUUUAUAAAAUCACACUUUUCUAUUUGAAGGGACAAAAGUAUUGAUUCUUUUGAAUACAUACAUAUAAAUUAUUGGCUAAGUUUAUAAAAAAUAAUUGUAGAACUAAAUCAAAAUUCAAUUCUAUAACUACAACCAAGAAUAAGAAUUAAAAAUAUUACGGACACAAAAAGUAUGUACAUACAAAUGAAGAACAAAAAAAUAAUCUUAUUAAUCCUCUAUGUCCUGUAUAAUCAAUAUAAAUUAAACAAAUAACAAAUACUCUCAUAGCCCAAAAAGUGAAACUGUAAAAGAAGAAAACAAAUAACCAAUCCUCAGUAAGAAUGGAUCUAAACAUCAGCACAUGACUAAUAGUAAUAAACAAUCUAAUUCUUGAUAAAGCCAUAAGAGACAAAACCAAUAAAGAACGCACAAUCGCGACCCCUAACAAGUAAAACCUAAAACCACAGGUCCCCCGUCCACAAGCAAGUGCAAGUGUGCUGUGUGCAACGCCGAAGAAGAUGAAGAGGCAGGCCGAACCUUUAGUCAGGUAAUCGCCAAUCGGAUGAUUUCUAGCCGAAAGUUUUGCUGGUAGGUCUUACUUUUCAGGAUUGGUACCGUAUUUUUCCUUGAAUUUCUUCAAGUUUUUUAUGGUGGCGUCAUACUGGAAUUGGAGAAAUAGACGGUUUGUUCUUCGUUUAUCUACCGAACUUCGUAUUUUUUUCAAGGGAUUUGAGUGGCUUUGGGCUCGGCAGGUUUUUGGGUUUUUGCAUAGCGAGAGGGUUUAAAUAGUAGAUUUAACGGGUAAACACGGCUUGGAAAUUGUGAUUUUUUUAUUUUAUUUUAAUAUAUUAUAAAUUUAUAUUUAAAUAUUUUAAUGUCUUGACUCUCGAGUGUCAAGUCUCUUUUGAUUAUUAUAAUCUUUCUAAUUAAACACAAUAAUUU